CGUGGACGGUACACAGGGGAGCUUGCUCCUCGGGUGACGAGUGGCGGACGGGUGAGUAAUGUCUGGGAAACUGCCCGAUGGAGGGGGAUAACUACUGGAAACGGUAGCUAUACCGCAUACGUCGCAAGACCAAAGUGGGGGACCUCCGGGCCUCACACCAUCGGAUGUGCCCAGAUGGGAUUAGCUUGUAGGCGGGGUAACGGCCCACCUAGGCGACGAUCCCUAGCUGGUCUGAGAGGAUGCCAGCCACACUGGAACUGGACACGGUCCAGACUCCUACGGGAGGCAGCAGUGGGGAAUAUUGCACAAUGGGCGCAAGCCUGUGCAGCCAUGCCGCGUGUAUGGAAGGCCUUCGGGUUGUAUACUUUCAGCGGGGAGGAAGGUGUGAGGUUAAUAACCUCACAAUUGACGUUACCCGCAGAAGAAGCACCGGCUAACUCCGUGCCAGCAGCCGCGGUAAUACGGAGGGUGCAAGCGUUAAUCGGAAUUACUGGGCGUAAAGCGCACGCAGGCGGUCUGUUAAGUCAGAUGUGUCCCCGGGCUUACCUGGGAACUGCAUUUGAAACUGGCAGGCUUGAGUCUCGUAGAGGGGGGUAUUCCAGGUGUAGCGGUGAAAUGCGUAGAGAUCUGGAGGAAUACCGGUGGCGAAGGCGGCCCCCUGGACGAAGACUGACGCUCAGGUGCGAAAGCGUGGGGAGCAAACAGGAUUAUACCCUGGUAGUCCACGCCGUAAACGAUGUCGACUUGGAGGUUGUUCCCUUGAGGAGUGGCUUCCGGAGCUACGCGUUAAGUCGACCGCCUGGGGAGUACGGCCGCAAGGUUAAAACUCAAAUGAAUUGCGGGGCCCGCACAAGCGGUGGAGCAUGUGGUUUAAUUCGAUGCACCGCAAGAACUUUACCUACUCUUGACAUCCGCGAACUUUGCGAAGAUGGCUUGGUGCCCGGAACG
This 948-nucleotide ribosomal RNA is filed under the name Pantoea stewartii. RNAcentral's name for it is "bacterial SSU rRNA". It matches the Rfam family "Bacterial small subunit ribosomal RNA", at positions 63 to 1028 of the family's 1533-position model. Lineage: Bacteria; Pseudomonadati; Pseudomonadota; Gammaproteobacteria; Enterobacterales; Erwiniaceae. The record is from RNAcentral.